AAAGCUUUAGUUUAAUUUUAAAAUGUCUCUUUGUCACGGAGGAGCUUGACAGCUUUU
Molecule: transfer RNA, 57 nt
Filed under: Plectus aquatilis
Lineage: Eukaryota; Metazoa; Nematoda; Chromadorea; Plectida; Plectidae
Description: tRNA-Asp
Source: RNAcentral